RNAcentral lists this small RNA (2223 nucleotides) under Pongo abelii (Sumatran orangutan). RNAcentral's name for it is "processed transcript". Lineage: Eukaryota; Metazoa; Chordata; Mammalia; Primates; Hominidae. The record is from RNAcentral.
GGGUGGCUUCCGUGGUUUGGCUCAUGUGCUGUGGUCUUGUCAGUUUUCAGCCAUGGCUCGGGAAAGUGACUUAGUCCCUCAGUACCUCAGUUUCCUCAUCCAUUACAUCAGAGCCUGUCCUCUACCUGGGACUGGAAGAUCCGCACGCAGCUGGUGGAGCAGUUCAAAUGUCUGGAGCAGCAAUCAGAGUCGCGACUGCAGCUGCUUCAAGACCUCCAGGAGUUUUUCCGCCGGAAAGCUGAGAUUGAGCUCGAGUACUCCCGCAGCCUGGAGAAGCUGGCCGAGCGCUUCUCCUCCAAAAUCCGCAGCUCCCGGGAGCACCAGUUCAAGAAGGACCAGUACCUCCUCUCGCCUGUGAACUGUUGGUAUCUGGUUCUGCAUCAGACCCGGCGGGAGAGCCGAGACCAUGCCACCCUCAAUGACAUCUUCAUGAACAAUGUCAUCGUCCGCCUCUCCCAGAUCAGUGAGGAUGUCAUCAGACUCUUCAAAAAGAGCAAGGAGAUUGGCCUGCAGAUGCACGAGGAGCUCCUGAAGGUGACCAAUGAGCUCUACACAGUCAUGAAAACCUACCACAUGUACCAUGCAGAGAGCAUCAGUGCAGAAAGCAAGCUGAAGGAGGCUGAGAAGCAGGAGGAGAAGCAGUUCAAUAAGUCAGGAGACCUCAGCAUGAACCUGCUCCGGCACGAGGACCGGCCCCAGCGCCGCAGCUCUGUGAAGAAGAUUGAGAAGAUGAAGGAGAAGAGGCAGGCUAAGUACUCUGAGAACAAGCUGAAAUGCACAAAGGCCCGGAAUGACUACUUGCUCAAUCUGGCAGCCACCAACGCAGCUAUAAGCAAAUACUACAUCCAUGACGUCUCCGAUCUGAUCGAUUGCUGUGAUUUGGGCUUCCAUGCCAGCCUGGCCCGCACCUUCCGGACCUAUCUCUCAGCUGAAUACAACCUGGAGACUUCUCGCCAUGAGGGGCUGGAUGUCAUUGAGAAUGCAGUGGACAACCUGGAUUCCCGAAGUGACAAGCACACAGUCAUGGACAUGUGCAAUCAAGUCUUCUGCCCUCCACUCAAGUUCGAGUUCCAGCCCCACAUGGGGGAUGAGGUCUGCCAGGUCAGCGCUCAGCAGCCCGUACAGACAGAACUGCUCAUGCGGUAUCACCAGCUGCAGUCCAGACUGGCCACCCUCAAGAUAGAGAAUGAGGAGGUUAGGAAAACCCUGGAUGCCACCAUGCAGACAUUACAGGACAUGCUGACUGUGGAGGACUUUGAUGUCUCUGAUGCCUUCCAACACAGUCGAUCGACAGAGUCCGUCAAGUCGGCUGCCUCUGAGACCUACAUGAGCAAGAUCAACAUUGCCAAGAGGAGAGCCAACCAGCAGGAAACAGAAAUGUUUUAUUUUACAAACGGGCCUGAUGAUACUUUCCCCAUUUGCCAUCCAAGAUUGUGAUGAGGCUUAAACGUACAUGUGUGAAAACUGUCAAGUGCUCUGUGGAUACAAAGUCGAGUGACUCUUAAUGGCCAAUAGGCCAGGUCCUGGGAGCCUAGGACCAUGGAAAAGGAGAGAGGACACCACAACCUCCCACCAGUGCAGUCGUUCCAGAAACCCAACAAGAAAUUUAAAGAAUAUGUGAAUGGCAGUAACCUCAUCACCAAGCUGCAGGCCAAGCACGAUUUACUCAAGCAGACCUUGGGCGAAGGGGAAAGAGCAGAAUGUGGCACCACCAGGCCCCCCUGUCUUCCCCCUAAACCACAGAAAAUGAGGAGACCUAGGCCUCUCUCAGUGUAUAGCCAUAAACUCUUUAACGGCAGUAUGGAAGCAUUCAUUAAGAGGAAGAAGAAAUGCUCGAACCAGGAACCAGGAUUCAGGACAAGCUAUACCGCUUGUAGUCGAGAGCUGCAUCCGUUACAUCAAUUUAUAUGGACUCCAGCAGCAGGGGAUCUUCAGAGUGCCAGGAUCUCAGGUGGAAGUCAAUGACAUCAAAAAUUCCUUUGAGAGAGGUGAAGACCCCCUUGUGGAUGAUCAAAAUGAACGAGAUAUCAAUUCAGUCGCUGGUGUUUUAAAACUGUAUUUCCGAGGACUGGAAAACCCACUCUUUCCUAAGGAAAGGUUUCAAGAUUUGAUAUCUACUAUUAAAAAGUUGCCCCAUACCCAGUUUCAUUUGGGGUGUUUCUCACAUUACUCUGAGAGAUAUUUGCAGCCAGGAAAGUGUCCCAGGAGAUGGCAAGAGAAGAG